This is a non-coding RNA of Caenorhabditis elegans, 668 nucleotides long. NCBI's taxonomy places the organism in Eukaryota, Metazoa, Nematoda, Chromadorea, Rhabditida, Rhabditidae. The record is from Ensembl.
CUCGUAGUGCACGCCAAAUUUCCUUGUUGCUCUUGUGGUCCCUUCAGGAUUUUUGUCGUUUUUAUUUUUCACUGUCAGUUUUUUUAACUAAUGAAAAAUUUUUUUUUAAAAUCAGCCUCAAAAGGGGAGUUUUGACAGUUUAUGAAAGUUUUGUGGUUGAUAAAAAAAGGCAGGCAUCUAGUAAUCUUGUAGGCACGUAGGUACACAGGAAGGCAUUAUUUUUGGCAUGAAUUAAUGAGAAAGGCAUGAUGUAGGUACGUAGGUAGGCAUAACGGCAAAGUUCCGACACAUAAGCAAUCGUCAGCGAGGCACUCUGUAGGCACGUCGGAAGGCUGGAAAGCAGAAAGAGUCCACUUAGACAACACUGGGGGUUAACAGGCUGGGAGGAGAACAACGAGCGCGUACGAUCCGAUAAUGUCCACGUCGUAGUUUUCACUGAAAACAAUCAGAGUUUGAGCUUGGACGAUAAUGCCUGCUUUGGAUUGCAAAAUGAUCUAGGAAAAACUACUCACUGGUCGCCGACGUUUGAUGGUGAAAAUUGCGAUUCAAUAAAAAAAUUGCCAACAAGAAAAAGAAGGCUUCAACAAAUCAGGAAUCCGUGGCCCUAUUGAUUGUGAUAACUUCUUUCGCUUUUGCUGCAAUAUACACGGUUAUAAAUUGUUUGUCAU